This 394-nucleotide unclassified non-coding RNA is filed under the name soil metagenome. Its description in RNAcentral is "partial contains 5.8S ribosomal RNA, internal transcribed spacer 2, and large subunit ribosomal RNA". The stretch from base 1 to 121 matches the Rfam family "5.8S ribosomal RNA", at positions 35 to 154 of the family's 154-position model. The record is from RNAcentral.
GAUGAAGAAGUAGUGAAAUGCGAUACUUGGUGUGAAUUGCAGAAUCCCGUGAACCAUCGAGUCUUUGAACGCAAGUUGCGCCCGAAGCCAUCAGGUUGAGGGCACGUCUGCCUGGGCGUCACAUAUCGUUGCCCAAUGCCUAUUGCAGUGCAAUAGGAAUUUCUAGGGCGAAUGAUGGCUUCCCGUGAGCGUUGUUGCCUCGCGGUUGGUUGAAAAUCGAGUCCUUGGUAGGGUGUGCCAUGGUAGAUGGUGGUCGAGUUAGAACGAUACCGAUCAUGUGCAUGCUCCCCAAAAUAUGGCCUCUAUGACCCACACGCGUCUUUUGACGCUCAUGACGAGACCUCAGGUCAGGCGGGGCUACCCGCUGAAUUUAAGCAUAUCAAUAAGCGGAGGA